ACGCUCGACACCUACGGGGGCAGCAGUGGGGAAUAUUGCACAAUGGGGGGAAACCCUGAUGCAGCGACGCCGCGUGAGCGAAGAAGUAUUUCGGUAUGUAAAGCUCUAUCAGCAGGGAAGAAACUGACGGUACCUGACUAAGAAGCACCGGCUAAAUACGNGCCAGCAGCCGCGGUAAUCUGAGCGGGCUGGCAAGGC
Molecule: ribosomal RNA, 198 nt
Filed under: uncultured bacterium
Lineage: Bacteria
Description: partial 16S ribosomal RNA
Rfam family: Bacterial small subunit ribosomal RNA
Source: RNAcentral